UCUCAGUUAGUAUAGUGGUCAGUAUCUCCGCCUGUCAUAAGGGAGAUCGCGUAUCUCCGCCUGCUAUAAGUGAGAUCGCGGAAGACCCGGGUUCGAUUCCCGGACUGAGAG
This is a non-coding RNA of Blyttiomyces helicus, 111 nucleotides long. The record is from the annotation of a GenBank genome assembly. NCBI's taxonomy places the organism in Eukaryota, Fungi, Chytridiomycota, Chytridiomycetes.